Molecule: ribosomal RNA, 253 nt
Filed under: uncultured bacterium
Lineage: Bacteria
Description: partial 16S ribosomal RNA
Rfam family: Bacterial small subunit ribosomal RNA
Source: RNAcentral
UACGUAGGGGGCAAGCGUUAUCCGGAUUUACUGGGUGUAAAGGGAGCGUAGACGGCGAUGCAAGUCUGAAGUGAAAGCCCGGGGCUCAACCCCGGGACUGCUUUGGAAACUGUAUGGCUGGAGUGCUGGAGAGGCAAGCGGAAUUCCUAGUGUAGCGGUGAAAUGCGUAGAUAUUAGGAAGAACACCAGUGGCGAAGGCAGCAUGCCGGCUUCCGACUGACGCUGAAGCACGAAAGCGUGGGGAUCGAACAGG